This 525-nucleotide ribosomal RNA is filed under the name Lodderomyces orthopsilosis. RNAcentral describes it as "eukaryotic LSU rRNA". The stretch from base 183 to 336 matches the Rfam family "5.8S ribosomal RNA". The record is from RNAcentral. Lineage: Eukaryota; Fungi; Ascomycota; Pichiomycetes; Serinales; Debaryomycetaceae.
GUACAAGGUUUCCGUAGGUGAACCUGCGGAAGGAUCAUUACAGAAUGAAAGUGCUUAACUGCAUUUUUUUACACAUGUGUUUUUCUUUUUUUUUGAAAACUUUGCUUUGGUGGGCCCAUGGCCUGCCAGAGAUUAAACUCAACCAAAUUUUUAUUUAAGUCAACUGAUUAACUAAUAGUCAAAACUUUCAACAACGGAUCUCUUGGUUCUCGCAUCGAUGAAGAACGCAGCGAAAUGCGAUAAGUAAUAUGAAUUGCAGAUAUUCGUGAAUCAUCGAAUCUUUGAACGCACAUUGCGCCCUUUGGUAUUCCAAAGGGCAUGCCUGUUUGAGCGUCAUUUCUCCCUCAAACCUUCGGGUUUGGUGUUGAGCGAUACGCUGGGUUUGCUUGAAAGAAAGGCGGAGUAUAAACUAAUGGAUAGGUUUUUUUCCACUCAUUGGUACAAACUCCAAAAUUCUUCCAAAUUCGACCUCAAAUCAGGUAGGACUACCCGCUGAACUUAAGCAUAUCAAUAAGCGGAGGAAAA